GACUAAUACCCAAUGACGUCUCUAGAAGACAUCUGAAAGAGAUUAAAGAUUUAUCGGUGAUGGAUGGGGAUGCGUCUGAUUAGCUUGUUGGCGGGGUAACGGCCCACCAAGGCAACGACCAGUAGGGGUUCUGAGAGGAAGGUCCCCCACAUUGGAACUGAGACACGGUCCAAACUCCUACGGGAGGCAGCAGUGAGGAAUAUUGGUCAAUGGACGAGAGUCUGAACCAGCCAAGUAGCGUGCAGGAUGACGGCCCUAUGGGUUGUAAACUGCUUUUAUAAGGGAAUAAAGUGAGUCUCGUGAGACUUUUUGCAUGUACCUUAUGAAUAAGGACCGGCUAAUUCCGUGCCAGCAGCCGCGGUAAUACGGAAGGUCCGGGCGUUAUCCGGAUUUAUUGGGUUUAAAGGGAGCGUAGGCCGGAGAUUAAGCGUGUUGUGAAAUGUAGACGCUCAACGUCUGCACUGCAGCGCGAACUGGUUUCCUUGAGUACGCACAAAGUGGGCGGAAUUCGUGGUGUAGCGGUGAAAUGCUUAGAUAUCACGAAGAACUCCGAUUGCGAAGGCAGCUCACUGGAGCGCAACUGACGCUGAAGCUCGAAAGUGCGGGUAUCGAACAGGAUUAGAUACCCUGGUAGUCCGCACGGUAAACGAUGGAUGCCCGCUGUUGGUCUGAAUAGGUCAGCGGCCAAGCGAAAGCAUUAAGCAUCCCACC
Molecule: ribosomal RNA, 711 nt
Filed under: uncultured bacterium
Lineage: Bacteria
Description: bacterial SSU rRNA
Rfam family: Bacterial small subunit ribosomal RNA
Source: RNAcentral